UACGUAGGAUGCAAGCGUUGUCCGGAAUUACUGGGCGUAAAGCGCGCGUAGGCGGUGAUCCAUGUCAGAGGUGAAAGCCCGGGGCUCAACUCCGGAAUUGCCUUUGAGACGGGAUCGCUAGAGUCCGAGAGAGGAUGGCGGAAUUCCUAGUGUAGAGGUGAAAUUCGUAGAUAUUCGGAAGAACACCAGUGGCGAAGGCGACUUACUGGACACAUAUUGACGCUGAGGUGCGAAAGCGUGGGGAGCAAACAGG
Molecule: ribosomal RNA, 253 nt
Filed under: uncultured bacterium
Lineage: Bacteria
Description: partial 16S ribosomal RNA
Rfam family: Bacterial small subunit ribosomal RNA
Source: RNAcentral